Molecule: ribosomal RNA, 497 nt
Filed under: uncultured bacterium
Lineage: Bacteria
Description: partial 16S ribosomal RNA
Rfam family: Bacterial small subunit ribosomal RNA
Source: RNAcentral
GAUGAACGCUGGCGGCGUGCCUAAUACAUGCAAGUCGAGCGACCACAUGAUAAGAUCGCUCUCCUAAGGUUAGCGACUGACGGACGGGUAAGAAGUGGAUAGCCUUCUAAUUUUUCUGGGAUAAUAUCGGGAGGCCGGUGAUACUAAUGGCUAAUAUAUUCUACCGGAUGAAUCAAUAGUGCUUGACACUUUUGGUGAUUCUUUUAGCUGGAUCCGGGCCGGAUUAGCUAGUUGGUAAGGUAACGGCUCACCAAGGCGACGUUGCGUAGCCGACCUGAGAGGGUGAUCAGCCACACUGGAACUGAGACACGGUCCAGACUCCUACGGGAGGCAGCAGUGGGGAAUCUUGCGCAAAGGGCGAAAGCCUGACGGAGCAACGCCGCGUGAGUGAUGAAGGUCUUCGGAUCGUAAAGCUCUGUUAUUAGGAAAGAACAAAAGUGUAUGUAACUAUGCACGUUUUGACGGUACCUAAACAGAAAGCCACGGCUAACUUCGUG